CCUACGGGAGGCAGCAGUGGGGAAUAUUGCACAAUGGGGGAAACCCUGAUGCAGCGACGCCGCGUGAGUGAAGAAGUAUUUCGGUACGUAAAGCUCUAUCAGCAGGGAAGAAAAUGCCGGUACCUGACUAAGAAGCCCCGGCUAACUACGUGCCAGCAGCCGCGGUAAUACGUAGGGGGCAAGCGUUCUCCGGAUUUACUGGGUGGAAAGGGAGCGUAGACGGCAGCGCAAGUCUGGAGUGAAAUCCCAUGGCUUAACCAUGGAACUGCUUUGGAAACUGUGCAGCUAGAGUGCAGGAGAGGUAAGCGGAAUUCCUAGUGUAGCGGGGAAAUGCGUAGAUAUUAGGAGGAACACCAGUGGCGAAGGCGGCCUGCUGGGCUUUUACUGACGCUGAGGCUCGAAAGCGUGGGUAGCAAACAGGAUUAGAUACCCCUGUAGUC
RNAcentral lists this ribosomal RNA (440 nucleotides) under uncultured bacterium. Its description in RNAcentral is "partial 16S ribosomal RNA". It matches the Rfam family "Bacterial small subunit ribosomal RNA", at positions 338 to 795 of the family's 1533-position model. The record is from RNAcentral.